RNAcentral lists this ribosomal RNA (198 nucleotides) under uncultured bacterium. RNAcentral describes it as "partial 16S ribosomal RNA". It matches the Rfam family "Bacterial small subunit ribosomal RNA", at positions 328 to 539 of the family's 1533-position model. The record is from RNAcentral.
ACGCUCGACACCUACGGGAGACAGCAGUGGGGAAUAUUGCACAAUGGGGGAAACCCUGAUGCAGCGACGCCGCGUGAGCGAAGAAGUAUUUCGGUAUGUAAAGCUCUAUCAGCAGGGAAGAAACUGACGGUACCUGACUAAGAAGCACCGGCUAAAUACGUGCCAGCAGUCGCGGUAAUCUGAGCGGGCUGGCAAGGC